RNAcentral lists this transfer RNA (76 nucleotides) under Escherichia coli D6-113.11. RNAcentral's name for it is "transfer RNA-Undet". It matches the Rfam family "tRNA". From Rfam's summary of the family: Transfer RNA (tRNA) molecules are approximately 80 nucleotides in length. Their secondary structure includes four short double-helical elements and three loops (D, anti-codon, and T loops). Lineage: Bacteria; Pseudomonadati; Pseudomonadota; Gammaproteobacteria; Enterobacterales; Enterobacteriaceae. The record is from RNAcentral.
CGCGGGGUGGAGCAGCCUGGUAGCUCGUCGGGCUAUAACCCGAAGGUCGUCGGUUCAAAUCCGGCCCCCGCAACCA